This 645-nucleotide ribosomal RNA is filed under the name uncultured bacterium. RNAcentral describes it as "bacterial SSU rRNA". It matches the Rfam family "Bacterial small subunit ribosomal RNA", at positions 856 to 1501 of the family's 1533-position model. The record is from RNAcentral.
CGCAUUAAGUACCCCGCCUGGGGAGUACGGCCGCAAGGCUAAAACUCAAAGGAAUUGACGGGGCCCCGCACAAGCGGCGGAGCAUGCGGAUUAAUUCGAUGCAACGCGAAGAACCUUACCUGGGUUUGACAUAUAUCGGAAACGUUCAGAGAUGGGCGCCCCGUAAGGUCGGUAUACAGGUGGUGCAUGGCUGUCGUCAGCUCGUGUCGUGAGAUGUUGGGUUAAGUCCCGCAACGAGCGCAACCCUCGUCCAAUGUUGCCAGCGGGUUAUGCCGGGGACUCAUUGGAGACCGCCGGGGUCAACUCGGAGGAAGGUGGGGAUGACGUCAAGUCAUCAUGCCCCUUAUGUCCAGGGCUUCACGCAUGCUACAAUGGCCGGUACAAAGAGUUGCGAGCCUGNNNGGGUGAGCGAAUCUCAAAAAGCCGGUCUCAGUUCGGAUUGGGGUCUGCAACUCGACCCCAUGAAGUCGGAGUCGCUAGUAAUCGCAGAUCAGCAACGCUGCGGUGAAUACGUUCCCGGGGCUUGUACACACCGCCCGUCAAGUCAUGAAAGUCGGUAACACCCGAAGCCGGNNNNNNNNNCUUUUUGGGGGGAGCUGUCUAAGGUGGGAUCGGUGAUUAGAAGGAAGUCGUAACAAGGUAGCC